This 468-nucleotide ribosomal RNA is filed under the name uncultured bacterium. RNAcentral describes it as "partial 16S ribosomal RNA". It matches the Rfam family "Bacterial small subunit ribosomal RNA", at positions 28 to 507 of the family's 1533-position model. The record is from RNAcentral.
GACGAACGCUGGCGGCGUGCUUAACACAUGCAAGUCGAACGGAAAGGCCCUGCUUUUGUGGGGUGCUCGAGUGGCGAACGGGUGAGUAACACGUGAGUAACCUGCCCUUGACUUUGGGAUAACUUCAGGAAACUGGGGCUAAUACCGGAUAGGAGCUCCUGCUGCAUGGUGGGGGUUGGAAAGUUUCGGCGGUUGUGGAUGUACUCGCGGCUUAUCAGCUUGUUGGUGGGGUAGUGGCUUACCAAGGCUUUGACGGGUAGCCGGCCUGAGAGGGUGACCGGCCACAUUGGGACUGAGAUACGGCAGAGACUCCUAAGGGAGGCAGAAGGGGGGAAUAUUGCACAAGGGGCGGAAGCCUGAUGCAGCAACGCCGCGUGCGGGAUGACGGCCUUAGGGUUGUAAACCGCUUUCGCCUGUGACGAAGCGUGAGUGACGGUAAUGGGUAAAGAAGCACCGGCUAACUACGUG